AAUUAUGUUUCAUAGCAUACAGUUAUCUUUGGCUUUGAUGAUUUUUCCAUCAAUAAUUCACUUUUUAAUUUUUUCCAUAGGGUGAAUCUAAACUUGGAAGAAUUAUACUUUCUAAAAAUGAUUAUUGAUAAAACAAAGCACUCAGAACAGCAAACGACCUUCCUGUUCCCCAUCACAACCCCUCAUGACAGACCACUGGGGAAAAAAAAAAAAAAAGUAGAAAAUAUACCCACAUGACAUUCCUAAUUGUCCAGCCUCUCCCAAGUUCCAACCAAAUUAUUUUCUCAUCAAUAUUUCUACUAUUGUUUGCACUGAAUGCUUGUGAUUGCAUGAGGCUGAUAUUGCCAAAUGCGUCAACCUGGAUAUAGAAAAUUAAAAACAUGUCUGCUGCAGCUUGUACCUGCAGUGCAAAAAGAAGCACUAGCAUAGUUGCUCUAGGAGCUACCACAGUCUGGGAUUCCCUCUUUUUGUCCUGACUGAGAAGAAUGGAGCAGGAGCUCUCCACAACCCUCAAGAGCACAGUGUCAGCCAUGGGCAACCAGAAGGAAACAGUUGUUCUUCAAUGUCAAGGAAUCCUGAUUGAUCUGCAUGUGGACAGCUGGAGAAUGAUAAAACAGCAGGUCGAAUUGAUAAUACUAUGUUUUACCCUCACCUUAAUGCAUUUCCUUUUGGAAUGUAGCCAGAAGGGCCCAGAAUGGCCAUGGUCCCAAGCUUAUGUUACAUACACUGGGAGUAUGGGACUAUGCUCCACCAAAGAAAAUUUAAACUUGGCCACUAUGGUUAUGCAUGGGGCUGAAGUGUAUUCCAAACAUGAGUAGGCUGAUUAAUUCAUAAAAUAUAUGGAAUACAUGUUAAACAGGGUGGUCAUGGAUCCAUGCUUACACUAGCUAUAAUGGGUACACAUUUGGAACUCCCCCCCAGAAAUUUCUAAGUUUGUCUGUGGUAGCAUUAUGAAACGGUUUUAACUUUUCUAAAUGGGAAUGGGUUACAAAAAAUGAGGACAAAGAUCAGCAGAUUCUAUUUCUAAUAAGGAAAAGCAGAGAUACCAUUUCAAUAGGGUACCAAACUGAAAAUAGCGCUGAAUACACACACAACAGCUUCCCAGAUUACUACAGAAUUUACUGGGAGUAAGCUCAAAUAGGACUUUGAUCAUGUACAUGUCUGUCCCCAUGGAUGUGAAUGUUGGUACACUUUUAUUA
RNAcentral lists this long non-coding RNA (1199 nucleotides) under Anser cygnoides (Swan goose). RNAcentral's name for it is "lncRNA (ENSACDG00005009547.1)". Lineage: Eukaryota; Metazoa; Chordata; Aves; Anseriformes; Anatidae. The record is from RNAcentral.